Molecule: ribosomal RNA, 434 nt
Filed under: uncultured bacterium
Lineage: Bacteria
Description: partial 16S ribosomal RNA
Rfam family: Bacterial small subunit ribosomal RNA
Source: RNAcentral
AGCGAACGCUGGCGGCAGGCCUAACACAUGCAAGUCGAACGAACCUUUCGGGGUUAGUGGCGGACGGGGGAGUAACACGUGGGAACGUGCCUGUAGGUUCGGAAUAACUCAGGGAAACUUGUGCUAACACCGAAUGUGCCCUUCGGGGGAAAGAUUCAUCGCCUUUAGAGCGGCCCGCGUCUGAUUAGCUAGUUGGUUGAGGUAAUGGCUCACCAGGGCGACGAUCAGUAGCUGGUCUGAGAGGAUGAUGAGCCACAUUGGGACUGAGACACGGCCCAAACUCCUACGGGAGGCAGCAGUGGGGAAUCUUGCGCAAUGGGCGAAAGCCUGACGCAGCCAUGCCGCGUGAAUGAUGAAGGUCUGAGGAUUGUAAAAUUCUUUCACCGGGGACGAUAAUGACGGUACCCGGAGAAGAAGCCCCGGCUAACUUCGUG